CCGGUUGGUCAGGUGAUCGCGGCGCGGUUAACUCCGCGUCGAGGAAAGUCCGCACUCCAUAGGGCAGCAUGCCGGGUAACACCCGGAGCGGGGAACCGCUGGACAGGGCCACAGAAACAUACCGCUGCAAAGCAGUAAGGGUGAAAAGGUGGUGUAAAAGACCACCGGCGCAGCAGUAAUGCUGCGGCCAGGCAACCCCCAUGUGGAGCAAGAUCAAGCAGGGACAAUGCCGGCCUUUGAGCCGGCGGGAGAUGACCCGUCUUCCCCAAAGUCCCGGGUAGAUCGCACGAGCGAAACAGUAAUGUUCCGCCUAGAGAGAUGAUCACCGCGACAGAAGCCGUCCCAUUGGGAUACCCUUCUGUUGAACAGAAUGCGGCUUAUCGACCGGCCGGGGAA
Molecule: RNase P RNA, 396 nt
Filed under: Anaerolineae bacterium
Lineage: Bacteria; Bacillati; Chloroflexota; Anaerolineae
Description: RNase P RNA component class A
Rfam family: Bacterial RNase P class A
About the family: Ribonuclease P (RNase P) is a ubiquitous endoribonuclease, found in archaea, bacteria and eukarya as well as chloroplasts and mitochondria.
Source: RNAcentral